GAAGGUGUGCUGUGAGGCAUGCUGGAGGUAUCAGAAGUGCGAAUGCUGACAUAAGUAACGAUAAAGCGGGUGAAAAGCCCGCUCGCCGGAAGACCAAGGGUUCCUGUCCAACGUUAAUCGGGGCAGGGUGAGUCGACCCCUAAGGCGAGGCCGAAAGGCGUAGUCGAUGGGAAACAGGUUAAUAUUCCUGUACUUGGUGUUACUGCGAAGGGGGGACGGAGAAGGCUAUGUUGGCCGGGCGACGGUUGUCCCGGUUUAAGCGUGUAGGCUGGUUUUCCAGGCAAAUCCGGAAAACUAAGGCUGAGGCGUGAUGACGAGGCACUACGGUGCUGAAGCAACAAAUGCCCUGCUUCCAGGAAAAGCCUCUAAGCAUCAGGUAACAUCAAAUCGUACCCCAAACCGACACAGGUGGUCAGGUAGAGAAUACCAAGGCGCUUGAGAGAACUCGGGUGAAGGAACUAGGCAAAAUGGUGCCGUAACUUCGGGAGAAGGCACGCUGAUAUGUAGGUGAAGUCCCUCGCGGAUGGAGCUGAAAUCAGUCGAAGAUACCAGCUGGCUGCAACUGUUUAUUAAAAACACAGCACUGUGCAAACACGAAAGUGGACGUAUACGGUGUGACGCCUGCCCGGUGCCGGAAGGUUAAUUGAUGGGGUCAGCGCAAGCGAAGCUCUUGAUCGAAGCCCCGGUAAACGGCGGCCGUAACUAUAACGGUCCUAAGGUAGCGAAAUUCCUUGUCGGGUAAGUUCCGACCUGCACGAAUGGCGUAAUGAUGGCCAGGCUGUCUCCACCCGAGACUCAGUGAAAUUGAACUCGCUGUGAAGAUGCAGUGUACCCGCGGCAAGACGGAAAGACCCCGUGAACCUUUACUAUAGCUUGACACUGAACAUUGAGCCUUGAUGUGUAGGAUAGGUGGGAGGCUUUGAAGUGUGGACGCCAGUCUGCAUGGAGCCGACCUUGAAAUACCACCCUUUAAUGUUUGAUGUUCUAACGUUGACCCGUAAUCCGGGUUGCGGACAGUGUCUGGUGGGUAGUUUGACUGGGGCGGUCUCCUCCUAAAGAGUAACGGAGGAGCACGAAGGUUGGCUAAUCCUGGUCGGACAUCAGGAGGUUAGUGCAAUGGCAUAAGCCAGCUUGACUGCGAGCGUGACGGCGCGAGCAGGUGCGAAAGCAGGUCAUAGUGAUCCGGUGGUUCUGAAUGGAAGGGCCAUCGCUCAACGGAUAAAAGGUACUCCGGGGAUAACAGGCUGAUACCGCCCAAGAGUUCAUAUCGACGGCGGUGUUUGGCACCUCGAUGUCGGCUCAUCACAUCCUGGGGCUGAAGUAGGUCCCAAGGGUAUGGCUGUUCGCCAUUUAAAGUGGUACGCGAGCUGGGUUUAGAACGUCGUGAGACAGUUCGGUCCCUAUCUGCCGUGGGCGCUGGAGAACUGAGGGGGGCUGCUCCUAGUACGAGAGGACCGGAGUGGACGCAUCACUGGUGUUCGGGUUGUCAUGCCAAUGGCACUGCCCGGUAGCUAAAUGCGGAAGAGAUAAGUGCUGAAAGCAUCUAAGCACGAAACUUGCCCCGAGAUGAGUUCUCCCUGACUCCUUGAGAGUCCUGAAGGAACGUUGAAGACGACGACGUUGAUAGGCCGGAUGUGUAAGCGCAGCGAUGCGUUGAGCUAACCGGUACUAAUGAACCGUGAGGCUUAACCUUACAACGCCGAAGGUGUUU
This 1711-nucleotide ribosomal RNA is filed under the name Escherichia coli. RNAcentral describes it as "partial 23S ribosomal RNA". It matches the Rfam family "Bacterial large subunit ribosomal RNA", at positions 1252 to 2925 of the family's 2925-position model. The record is from RNAcentral. Lineage: Bacteria; Pseudomonadati; Pseudomonadota; Gammaproteobacteria; Enterobacterales; Enterobacteriaceae.